This 467-nucleotide ribosomal RNA is filed under the name uncultured bacterium. Its description in RNAcentral is "partial 16S ribosomal RNA". It matches the Rfam family "Bacterial small subunit ribosomal RNA", at positions 28 to 507 of the family's 1533-position model. The record is from RNAcentral.
GACGAACGCUGGCGGCGUGCUUAACACAUGCAAGUCGAACGGAAAGGCCCUGCUUUUGUGGGGUGCUCGAGUGGCGAACGGGUGAGUAACACGUGAGUAACCUGCCCUUGACUUUGGGAUAACUUCAGGAACCGGGGGCAAAUACCGAUAGGAGCCCCUGCCGCAUGGUGGGGGGUGGAAAGGUUUGGCGGUUGGGGAUGGACUCGCGGCUUAUCAGCUUGUUGGUGGGGUAGUGGCUUACCAAGGCUUUGACGGGUAGCCGGCCUGAGAGGGUGACCGGCCACAUUGGGACUGAGAUACGGCCCAGACUCCUACGGGAGGCAGCAGUGGGGAAUAUUGCACAAUGGGCGGAAGCCUGAUGCAGCAACGCCGCGUGCGGGAUGACGGCCUUCGGGUUGUAAACCGCUUUCGCCUGUGACGAAGCGUGAGUGACGGUAAUGGGUAAAGAAGCACCGGCUAACUACGUG